UUACAACUAUUGGUCCAUAUGAUUGUUUUUAGUUGUAUAUAAUACUCCCACUAUGCUUAUAAAACGUUUUUAAAGCAAGAGUAUAUGAUACUACUAACAUAACCUUUGCAUUCAUUUGAUGGACUAUAUAGUUGCCCUAGGGCCUUAGGAUGACUAUGAACCUUUGUUUAGAUUCAACACGAGCCUUGUGUUGAAUCUCGGUCUAGGGAUGGUGAUUGAUUUUAGUUACAUGUUUAAACACAUUAAGGCGUGUUGUCUUAGGGGCGUUGGACCCAACUACUUCAUUUUCAUGCAUAUCAAAUAAAGCAAGAAAGAAGUACUUCAAAGUAAAGGUGAGCUUAUGCUCAUUACAACAUUUGCAUAAAGCAAAUUACUUUAAAGUAAAGAAGAGCUUAUGCCCUUUUACAACAUUUGAUCAAAUCAAAUUACAACCAAAAUCUAAUCUACACAUUCCCAUGGUUCAAACAAAUUUGAAACGGCCUUUCACAUAGCUCAAUUAUAUUAGGCUUAGGUUCAUAAUCACCCUUUCUUUAAUCAAUUAACACUUUAACCAAUUAAAUAGAAUGCAACAUUUUCAUUUGGUCUUUGUAUCCAUAAAAUUGAUUUAAAUGGAGCUAAAUGAAAUGAAAAUCCAAUUCUCAUUUAAAGAGACAAAACAAUUUUGUUCUCUACCUAAUUUGGGCCAAUAUGCAAUUACCACAACAUUUGGGCUAUAUUGCAAAAACAUAAACUUUUGGGGUCACUUUGUAAAAACACGAAAGUCCACUACUUCAUGUAAUUACACUAGAACCCAAAAUUUAAACAAUGUAAAAACUUCAUUAAAGGAGCAAAACAAUUUGUCCUUUAGAUUUUUUGGACCUAAACGUAAAACGUAAACUUUUGGGCCAAAGUGCAAAUACACAAAAGUAUCAAAACUUUAUGUAAUUGCAUAAAAGGCCCCAAAAGUACCCCCACUAGAGGGUGGCCGGUUUUGGAAGAAGAAAUGGAGUGAUGUGUGUGUUGAUUUGUGAGUUUUGACAUAAAGCAAUCAAGUGGUGCAAGUGGUGUGUGUGAAAGGAAAUUAAUCCUUACACACCCACCAAUAUCUCUUACACCAUUUAAACAAAUAUCUAAAACAUUUAAACAUUUGAAAAUCAUAAAACAUAAACUUUAUGAUAUAAAUCAAAACUUUGAAUCAAAACACCAAACUUUAUGUUCUUGGCAAAAAUGUCAAGAACAAUGAAGAACACUCAUGAAAAACCCAAAAUUUUUCCAUGAACAUUUUUCACCCAAAAACAUUCCAAAACCAUUCAAACUUAAGGGAAAUAACAUCUAACCAAACUAGGGUACAUAGGGGUUCCAAAAGUUACUUGAAAACACUUUUAACAAGUCAAACAAGAACCCAAAAAUCCACCCUUUGGAUUUGGCCGAAAAUUCCCAAAAGCAUGGCACCAAAUUUUAGCUCCAAUAUUCAUACUCAUAUGAACUACAUCUACAACAUUUGAGAUGGCAAAUUUUCUAACAAAAUUUACAUUCAAAGAAACAAGAAUAAAGCUUGUAACAAUUACAACUUUUAAAUCACAAACUAUGAACCACAAAACCCAAAAGGAUUCACCAACUACUAGACCUAGGCUCUGAUACCACUUGAAGGAAUAUUUUGUGAAAACAUGUUCAUUUAAGCAACAUCUAUAAGCAUGCAAUUAACAAUUAAAGGCGGAACCAUGCUUGCAUGCACUUAAAAACAAAACAUUAACCAAGAAAUUCAAAGCCUAGUAGAUUGGUGAACCAAGAAUCAACUCAAAACAAAGUGAGUUGAAAUUUAUACCUUUGUAGAUUCCUCUUUGCAUAAGCAAAGGCUAAUCACCCAAAGAGAGGGCCUUCAUUCCUUGCAUCUAAAAUCUAUGGAUUUGGAUGGAUGAAAAGGUUUCUCCAAGUUCCAAAAAUUGAGAACCUCUGAGUAUCUUCACCAAGGUUAGAU
Molecule: long non-coding RNA, 1957 nt
Filed under: Malus domestica (apple)
Lineage: Eukaryota; Viridiplantae; Streptophyta; Magnoliopsida; Rosales; Rosaceae
Description: long non-coding RNA (MDOM_LNC000272)
Source: RNAcentral